RNAcentral lists this ribosomal RNA (469 nucleotides) under Palaina dimorpha. RNAcentral describes it as "partial 16S ribosomal RNA". It matches the Rfam family "Bacterial large subunit ribosomal RNA", at positions 1851 to 2584 of the family's 2925-position model. The record is from RNAcentral. Lineage: Eukaryota; Metazoa; Mollusca; Gastropoda; Architaenioglossa; Diplommatinidae.
AGUCUGACCUGCUCAAUGAUAAUUUAAAUAGCUGCAGUAUCCUAACUGUACAAAGGUAGCAUAAUAAUUUGUCUUAUAAUUGAAGAAUGGAAUGAAUGGUUUGACAAGGGUGUGGCUGUCUCUUAUAUAUUUGUUUGAAGUUAAUUUUUAGGUUAAAAGGCUUAAAUUGAAUUAAAGGACGAGAAGACCCUAUUGAGCUUAAAUUAAUAAUGAUGUUAAUAAAAAAUGAUUUAAAUUAGUUAUAGGAUUUAUGUAGUUUUAGUUGGGGCGACUAAGAGAUAAAUAAAGCUCUCUUUUAUAUUUUAUAAAGUUGUUUGUUGAUCCAAUUUUUUUGAAUUAAGAUCAAGCUACCAUAGGGAUAACAGCGUUAUCUUUUUUGAGAGUUCUAAUCGAAAAAUAGGAUUGCGACCUCGAUGUUGGAUUAAGAUUUAAUAAAGGUUGUAGGAGCUUUUAGGAUUAGUCUGUUCGA